GUCGGGCCACCCCACCAGAGCCACUCCUUUUCUCUCAGAGAUGGAGGCAUCAUCAGCCUGUGCAGGUGGCCCUAGGGUCAUAAUUCAAGACCAACUCAUACGUAAAAGGGCGACGGCUGGGGACUGCCUGAGUUUCCUGGAGGAGGCAGCCAUUCUGCCAAACUGAGAAGUGUGAAGCGGGAGAGGCAGGGAGCCCCGGGCUCCUGGAUAAUGGGGACCCUGUUCUGCUCACUACAUGCCCCUGAGAUCCAGGUCUAGCGGGAAGCCUAGAAUUACUGCACAAAGGGGAUCGAGACAGAACUGGAAACACCUUUUUAAAUGGCUUGACACGUGGCUCUGCACAGUCCUGAUGGGGCACACACGUGAUCAACAAGGAAGAGGAUCCUUCUGGUUUCAGUCCUCACACAUAGGCCUGUUUUAUUUCCGGAAGGAUUAUGCAGGCAGCCCUGUCCUGCGGUGUUGACUUUCAG
This 470-nucleotide long non-coding RNA is filed under the name Vulpes vulpes (red fox). RNAcentral describes it as "lncRNA (ENSVVUG00000011775.1)". Lineage: Eukaryota; Metazoa; Chordata; Mammalia; Carnivora; Canidae. The record is from RNAcentral.